RNAcentral lists this long non-coding RNA (556 nucleotides) under Homo sapiens (human). Its description in RNAcentral is "HSALNT0226989". The record is from RNAcentral. Lineage: Eukaryota; Metazoa; Chordata; Mammalia; Primates; Hominidae.
CUGCGGGGCGCUGUUGCUGUGGCUGAGAUUUGGCCGCCGCCUCCCCCACCCGGCCUGCGCCCUCCCUCUCCCUCGGCGCCCGCCCGCCCGCUCGCGGCCCGCGCUCGCUCCUCUCCCUCGCAGCCGGCAGGGCCCCCGACCCCCGUCCGGGCCCUCGCCGGCCCGGCCGCCCGUGCCCGGGGCUGUUUUCGCGAGCAGGUGAAAAUGGCUGAGAACUUGCUGGACGGACCGCCCAACCCCAAAAGAGCCAAACUCAGCUCGCCCGGUUUCUCGGCGAAUGACAGCACAGACAGGUGGGAAGAUAACAAGUGUGUGUUAGACGUGGUUUUCUAGACUGACAAGAGGGACUGGUCUGUUCUGCAGGGGCAGCCCAAAGAAAGUCUUCAUAGUUGCUGUGUUUAAUCUGAGUGGGAACUGAGGUGAGUUUUAGAAUGAGAGAUUCAAGAAGAAAGAUUCCCAAUGCCUGUGCCAGCUCUCAGUGUUGUGGCUGGAAAGUAGGGGGCAUCUGGUGUUGUCCUGUAAAGGAAGGCCAAGAAGAUAGCCUCACGUGCCAUGA